GAUGAAGAACGUAGUGAAAUGCGAUAAGUAAUGUGAAUUGCAGAAUCCAGUGAAUCAUCGAAUCUUUGAACGCACAUUGCGCCCGCCAGCAUUCUGGCGGGCAUGCCUGUUCGAGCGUCAUUUCAACCCUCGACCUCCCUUUGGGGAAGUCGGCGUUGGGGACCGGCAGCACACCGCCGGCCCUGAAAUGGAGUGGCGGCCCGUCCGCGGCGACCUCUGCGUAGUAAUCCAACUCGCACCGGAACCCCGACGCGGCCACGCCGUAAAACACCCAUCUUCUGAACGUUGACCUCGAAUCAGGUAGGACUACCCGCUGAACUUAAGCAUAUCAAUAAGCGGAGGA
RNAcentral lists this unclassified non-coding RNA (343 nucleotides) under soil metagenome. RNAcentral's name for it is "partial contains 5.8S ribosomal RNA, internal transcribed spacer 2, and large subunit ribosomal RNA". The stretch from base 1 to 120 matches the Rfam family "5.8S ribosomal RNA", at positions 35 to 154 of the family's 154-position model. The record is from RNAcentral.